Long non-coding RNA from Mustela lutreola (European mink), 2228 nucleotides. RefSeq lists it as uncharacterized. The transcript has 4 exons. The record is from RefSeq and is a predicted model, not a curated record. NCBI's taxonomy places the organism in Eukaryota, Metazoa, Chordata, Mammalia, Carnivora, Mustelidae.
GCUGACUUCUCAUUAGGAAAUCUGGUAUUUCAGGUUGGACUGGGCCUUGGGAAUGGCUGCUCCUUUGUUCAAGAGAAAAAGUACAUUAGAUCUGGCUGCAGUCUCAGACUUGUGAAAAUGAAUUCCAGAAUUUUCUAGCAUAGGAAAGUGAGGUGGCUCUCCAGUACCCUGAACAGAAUUUACCCAAUGAAGCCGAGAGCGGGAGAGGGCAAGAUGGCGUCCCUGAUUUCCUGAGGUUAUGCACGGUGACAGCCGUGGUCACAGACCCUGCAGAGCCUGGCACCACGGGACACCCAUGGUGGUGAUUAACUCUACAGAUCCUUGCUCAGAGCCUUGAUUCUCUUACCACGUAUUUCGAGAUUAGCUCUAUUAAAAGCGACCUUGACCCUGCAUUUCUUUAUUUCCGGUGGUUUUGUUUUCCUGUUUUUCAUCGUUCGGAGUACAUUCAUUUCUGCUUCUCUGAUGACCAGUGUCUGCGCGAGGAUUCCUUCUUGCGCCAUUUUUCCAAAAGUCGCUUCAUCGAACCUGUGACUAAUUGGCUAAAUAAAACCAACACAUACUCCUGGAAUUCAGGAGUCUGUUUCGUUCCAGGCCUGAUGAAAGGGAGUAAAUCGCACGGUUCCUUCUUGUCCUCCGUUAUCUCUCCCUUUCCUGCAAAAUCAUCAUCAAAAGAGAUGCUGCAAAGUUCUUCAUGAAUCUAGAGCGGGGACUUUCAUUCAUUGCCCAUUAUUCUGGAAAUGUCCCCCCAGCCCGCUCCUGGGCCCCCUGCAUCUUCCUUAUCCACGGACGGCUCGUGUAGGGAAGCCACAGGUCGGAGAUGACACCUGGCAGGAAGAAGAGAAAGGGCAGAGAGGUUGGAAUGUAAACUAAACGCGAGAUUUGUGAUUUGGUGGAAAGAGCUGCGGACCGGACGUCUAACCCUGGAUGGGGUGGCAGUCAGGAGAGAUCCUGCACAUUCCUUAGAUGCUCAAGCUCUCUGAGAGCACCAAGCAUUAAUAUUUUGGAAGGAAAACAUGAACCAGACAGGAAAGGGUAACAUUGUCAUUGUCUGUUCGCAAGACUGCGAGCUUGAGGAAGCCAUGGAUUAGGGACCUGGCCUUAUCCAUCGCUGUGUCCACGGAACCUGGCAUUGUGUACCCAGAGUAGACAAGUGUGGAAGUGUUACUCGUGAGCUAAGUCCUGAAUGAGACAGUCAAUCACACGGGGUCCCGUGUCAAAGGAUUCUGCUGGACACUUGUGCUGGAUGGGAACAUCAGUGGAUUGAAACCAGGUUUGGGGUCUAAAAGGCGAGAUUUAAGUUCCGGUGCCACGACUGCUGAGCUAUGUUAUCACUACGAUAUCACUGCGACUUCACUAAGUGUGCGAUCACUUCUCAGCUGGGGGAGCGACGGACCCUCUCCCGGUGUCAAGGAUUUUAUUUAUUUAUUUGAGAGAGAGAAAGAGAAGAAGAAGAAAGAGAGGAGGUGGAGGGUCAAGAAGACUCCAUACCAACCUUGACGCUGGAAGUGGGGCUCAAUCCCACGGUCUUGAGAUCAUGACCUGAGCUGAAACCAAGAGUUGGAUACUUAACUGACUGCACCACAGAGGUGCCCCGAACCCAAGAGUUUGGAUGCCACACUCUCGUGAGAGCCACCAAGGACUUGGAGAGAGACACAUUGGUUCCCCAAGAGUGGGCGGGCUGCCCCACGAGAAAAGACACCAGAAACGGACUCAUCUGGGCCUAUGGAAACAAAGUACCUACACCCUGAAGUGAACAGAAUUAAAAAUCCUCUUGAUAAACAGACCUCAGAGCGCUGGGCUGUUUGGUUUCAGAAUCUCUUGUCACCUACCCACCCUCUCCAUUUUGGGGUUUAAUGUUCAACGAGGUUAUCACAUGGAAAUCCAGCAAGCAAAUCUUAGGAGAUUUUCAGGCCAAAUUGUAAAACCCAUAAUGUUUACAUGGUCUAGAUAAAAUUUUAUUGUCUAUUUAUAUUUCAAUUUCCUAAAUGCCGAUAGCAAAACUGCCCUUAUAUAAACACAAGAAGAAAUUCCCAGCACUCAAAUACUACUUUUAUCUACCUUCCCUAUCUCGGAGCUUCUAGAAAGAUGCAUCUAGAAAGCAUCUAGAAAGAAGCAUCUAGAAAGAUGACAUCUUUUCCAACCACCAUCCUCCUGCACCUGCUCCUGUCACUGGACGUAAGUCUAAGGUUCCUCUAAAGUUAAUGAUUAAAAUAUUCGAGUGGACAUUA